RNAcentral lists this long non-coding RNA (1682 nucleotides) under Olea europaea subsp. europaea. The record is from RNAcentral. Lineage: Eukaryota; Viridiplantae; Streptophyta; Magnoliopsida; Lamiales; Oleaceae.
AUUGCAAGUACAGAAGUAGAUAUGAACAAUAAUAAUGGAAUAAUUUAUUGUAAUCCAGAUUUUUUAUUAACCAUUAAAGACUUUUCAGAUAAAAUUAAAAUAGGAAUUCAAACAAAAGGAUAUGAAGAGGUAGAAAGUGGAGAUAAUUUACUAAUUAGUAUAGGAUUUUUAGGAAGAUGUUCAAAUAACUCACAGACAAAAUAUAAAAUUUACAUAGAUAAAGUAGUAAACUUAAUGAGUAGUAAAGGAAUUAACAUGGUUAAACCAAAAGAAUAUUCAUCAGAACAAUUAGUAGGAUUAGAAUGGGAUAUAUAUAAAUUUUUAGAAAAUCAAGAAGCAAUUAUAGCACCACAGGAGGCACUAACUUAUAAAGAUAUUCAUGGAAGAACUAGUCUAAGAUUUUUAGAUUACAAUCAAGUACAAAGACAAAAUGACUUUGAAGAAGAAACUAAUCCUGAAGAAGAACAAAAUGAACCAUUUCAAAAUCAAGUUCAUUUAGAAUUAAUAGAUGAAGAAAAUGAUAGAAUAAUUUAUCCAAAAGAAUUAGGAAUGAAUUUAGAUAAUAAAGAAUUAUUAGAAAUGGAAGACCAAAUGUAUCUUAAUAAGACAAUUACAGAAUCUGAAUAUUUAUAUUAUGAUCAAGAACAGAAUUUAAGAAUAGGAACCAUUAAAGAAAAUAAUGAUUCAGAAAAUUCAGACUUUAGUUAUAUAAAAGAACUUAUGGAAGACUCAAAUACAUAUAGAACUUUUAGUGAUACCCCUUUUGAUAGAACAGUUAAACAUGAAGCAAUGAUUUAUAGUGGAGGAUUUCUCCCAAGAGGAGCCUAUCCUUUAUAUAAUAAUACAGAAGGAAAAUAUAUAGCAAGAGGAAGUGAAAGACCCUUAGAAAAGAAAAUAGAAUUCCAAUCAGAUCAUAAAGCACAGAUUUUAAAUAUUACGGCACAUGAUCCACAGACAUGGAAUAAUGUUAUAGAUGUAUGGAAGAAUACUAUAAUAGGACAUUAUAUUAGAAAUUUUCAAGAAAUGGAAGCUUUAGACAUGUAUAGAUACUUAGAAACAUUUUUAGGAGAAAGUGUAAAAGCUAUGUGGGAAGCUUUUAAAUUAGAAAAGAAACAAGAAUUUGAACAAUUAGUUAGUAUGGGAAGUAAUCCUUAUAACUUUGUUAAUAAAAUACAAAUAUUAAUAACAGGAGCAGAUCCUAAUUCAGGACACAUGAGUAUACAAAGAAAAGCUAUGAGAGAUUUAGAACAACUUAGUCUUUACAAAUGGACUAAAGGAAGAUAUGUUAAGAAUUUUUUAAAUGAGUAUCAUUACUUAACUUCAAUAUCAGGAAACACAUUUAAUCAAGAAAUAGGAAAUAAAUUAUUUCAUAAAUUACCAGGACCAUUAGGAUUAGAAAUUACAGAUAAAUGGAAUAAUCUGCCAGCAGUUAAAGAAGAACCAGAAAAACAAUGGAGUAUAGGACAAAGAAUACAACAUGUAAUAAGAUGUUUAGAAGAUAAAUGUGUAGAAUUACAAAUUCAAAAACAACUUAAGAAGACAGACUAUAAAUUUUGUAAAGAUAUUUUUACUCCACAAACUUAUGGAGCUUCUAGCUCAAGAAAAAAUAAGUGUAGUAAUAAAGAAAGAAAAAACAAAAAACCUUUUAAGAAAAAAUAUUUUCUUAGAAAAUCCAAUAAAAG